AGAGCGAACGCUGGCGGCAGGCCUAACACAUGCAAGUCGAGCGCCCCGCAAGGGGAGCGGCAGACGGGAGAGUAACACGUGGGAACGUACCCUUCAGUUCGGAACAACCCAGGGAAACUUGGGCUAAUACCGAAUACGUCCGUAAGGAGAAAGAUUUAUCGCUGAAGGAUCGGCCCGCGUCUGAUUAGCUAGUUGGUGAGGUAACGGCUCACCAAGGCUACGAUCAGUAGCUGGUCUGAGAGGAUGAUCAGCCUCACUGGGACUGAGACACGGCCCAGACUCCUACGGGAGGCAGCAGUGGGGAAUAUUGGACAAUAGGCGCAAGCCUGAUCCAGCCAUGCCGCGUGGAUGAUGAAGGCCUUAGGGUUGUAAAGUCCUUUCGACGGGGAAGAUAAUGACGGUACCCGUAGAAGAAGCCCCGGCUAACUUCGUGCCAGCAGCCGC
RNAcentral lists this ribosomal RNA (444 nucleotides) under uncultured bacterium. RNAcentral's name for it is "SSU rRNA". It matches the Rfam family "Bacterial small subunit ribosomal RNA", at positions 26 to 518 of the family's 1533-position model. The record is from RNAcentral.